Molecule: long non-coding RNA, 8294 nt
Filed under: Hordeum vulgare
Lineage: Eukaryota; Viridiplantae; Streptophyta; Magnoliopsida; Poales; Poaceae
Description: long non-coding RNA (HVUL_LNC013173)
Source: RNAcentral
UUUGCUCGUCGUCUAGGUCACGUGACCGGCGCCGGCAGGGGAAGACCACGAUAGCCAAAUCUAGUCGUUGAAGCCGGCCAAAUCCACCGUAUUCCCAUUUCCCAGUAAUCUCGAAGGUGACCCCUCAGGUGGAGCAUAUUAGUCACACUCCUGGCCUAUUCAUGAGUUUACUAGAGAUCACCCAAAUCUCAUAGACUGUGACCAGCAGUCAAGCUCAUAUAGGUGUGUUCCUCCAAAGAUCGCUCUGUAGGACAGCAUCUUGCUUACAUAUAAGCUUUAGAACACAUUAAGACAGUAGUCAUCCUACCAUACAGUAUCCGAGAGUAUUGCAUCUCCAACGGAGUGGGUUAGUAAAGUUACUCUCCUAAGUUCACCACUGGCUUGUUUUCCCAGGUCCUACUUCAUGGGAUCUCCGAUCAUACAGUUCACCACUGGCUUGUUUUCCGAGGUCCGACUUCACGGGAUCUCCGAUCAUAUAGGUUGGGUUACUUCCAUGGCACAUCAUGUGGGUCUCAUACCCAUCUCCCUCGAUGCACUAUCUAUCACAACACGUGAUAGCCCUUUAGUAAAGGGAUCUGCCAGAUUCUUAGCCGUUUGGAUAUAAUCCAACGCUAUCACUCCGGAGUUUCUCAAACGUCUGACAGACUUCAAUCUCAUUCUUAUAUGUUUGUUGGACUUCAUAUUGUCCUUUGAACUCUUCACUUUAACAAUAACUGUUUGAUUAUCGCAGUUCAUAAGGAUAGCCGGAACCGGCUUCUCAACCACAGGUAAGUCCAUCAAAAGAUCUCAAAGAAAUUCUGCUUCGACACCAGAUGUGUCUAAUCCUGUUAAUUCUGCUUCCAUUGUCGAUCUCGUUAAGAUCGUUUGCUUGCAAGACUUCCAGGAAACAGCACCACCCCCAAGAGUAAACAUAUACCCAGUGGUAGCCUUCAUCUCAUCAGCAUCAGAGAUCCAAUUUGCAUCACUAUACCCUUCAAGUACGGAUGGGAAUCCCGUAUAGUGAAGCCCGUGAUUGACAGUACCAUUCAAGUAGCGCAUAAUUCUUUCAACAGCGUGCCAAUGAACAUCACCCGGGUUUGCAACAAACCGGCUAAGUUUGCUCACAGCAAACGCGAUGCCAGGCCUCGUUGCGCUAGCUUGGUACAUAAGUGAACCGAUAAUUUGAGAGAAUCUCAAUUGAUCUAUAGCUGUGCCUUUAAACUUUCGAAUAAGCACACUAGGAUCAUAUGGUGUUUUACUAAUUUUGCAGUCUGAAUAUCCAAAGCGACUCAAAAUCUUAUCAACAUAGUGGGAUUGCAGAAGUGUAAUCCCACCCUCAUCAUCUCUCAACAGCUUGAUGUUCAAGAUAACAUCAGCCACCCCAAGGUCCUUCAUCUCAAAGUUUUGAGACAGAAAAGACUUAACCUCCUCAAUUACUUUGAGGUUGGUUCCAAAUAUCAGUAUGUCAUCAACAUACAAGCACAAUAUAACUCCUUCGCCCCCACCAUGGCGAUAGUAUACACAUUUGUCAGCUUCAUUAACAACGAAGCCAACAGAUGUCAGAGUUGUAUUAAACUUCUCAUGCCAUUGCUUAGGUGCUUGUCUCAGACCAUAUAAAGAUUUCAGCAACUUACACACCUUUCCUUCCUGACCUUCUAUCACAAAGCCAUCUGGCUGUUGCAUAUAGAUUUCCUCAUUUAACUCUCCAUUCAGGAAAGUCGUCUUAACGUCCAUUUGAUGAACGAGAAGACCAUGAGAGGCCGCCAAUGAGAGUAGUACUCGAAUGGUGGUCAGUCUAGCCACAGGUGAAUAAGUAUCGAAGAAAUCUUCUUCCUCUUUCUGGGCAUAGCCCUUGGCCACAAGCCUAGCCUUGUACUUUUCAAUCGUACCAUCGGGCCUAAGCUUAUUUUUGAACACCCACUUGCAUCCCAAUGGUUUGCAACCAUAGGGACGAUCAGUGAUUUCCCAUGUCCCGUUAGCCAUGAUGGAAUCCAUCUCUCUACGGACCGCAGCUUUCCAGUAAUCAGCAUCUGGAGAAGCAUACGCUUCUGAAAUAGAAGUGGGAUUAUCAUCCACGAGGUAUACGAAGAAAUCAUCACCAAAGGUCUUUGCAGUCCUUUGUCUCUUGCCCCUACCACGGGCUUCCUCGUCAUCCUCCUCAGGAUUUUCAUCAUGUGUUUGUUCAUAGUAUUCCAUAGGAAUGGCAGGCUCAGGAGUUAUCUCAGAUUCCUGUCUAGAAGUGCUUUGCAUAUCUCUCAUGGGAAAUAUAUCCUCAAAGAAUGUAGCAUCCCUCGACUCCAUUAUUGUACCGACCUUCACGUCAGGUACCUCAGAUUUCACUACUAGAAAUCUAUAGCCUACGCUAUUCUUAGUGUAUCCCAAAUUAACGCAGUCCACAGUCUUUGGUCCAAGCUUACGCUUCUUGGGGAUCGGUACAUUGACUUUUGCCAAGCAGCCCCAAGUACGUAAGUACGAGAGCGUCGUCCUUCUCUUCGANNNNNNNNNNNNNNNNNGAGCGUCGUCCUUCUCUUCGACCACUCCUCGUAGGGAGUGACCUCAUUAUCUUUUGUAGGAACUUUAUUCAGGACAUGACACCCGGUCAAUAUAGUCUCCCCCCACCAUGCCUUGGAUAAACCCGAUGUAUCUAACAUGGCGUUAACCAAAUCAGUUAGAGUACGGUUUUUCCGCUCGGCAACCCCGUUUGACUGGGGUGAAUAGGGAGGCGUCCUCUCAUGAAUAAUGCCGUGUUCCGCACAAAAUGAAUCAAAUUCGUUUGAGAAGUACUCUCCACCACGAUCAGACCGGACUCGUUUAAUUUUCUUUUCAAGUUGAUUCUCAACUUCUGCCUUAUAGAUUUUAAAGUAGUGUAGAGCCUCAUCUUUAGUAUUUAACAGAUACACAUAGCAAAAUCUAGUGGAAUCAUCUAUCAAUGUCAUGAAGUAUUUCUUUCCACCUUUAGUCAACACACCAUUCAUCUCACAAAGAUCAGAAUGUAUGAGUUCUAAUGGUGCCAAGUGUCUCUCCUCUGCAGCCUUGUGAGGCUUGCGAGGUUGCUUUGCUUGCACACACGAAUGGCACUUAGAACCUUUGGCUAAAGUGAAAGUUGGGAUUAAAUUCAGUUUUGCUAGCCGCGACAUAACACCGAAACUUAUGUGACAAAGACGUGAAUGCCAAACUUCAGAUUCAUUAACACUCGAAUGAAUAUUGUUCACGACUUUAUUACAAAAAUCUGCAAGAGAAAGGCGGAACAGACCUCCGCAUUCAUAACCUUUUCCAACGAAAAGUCCAUAUUUCGUAACUACUACUUUAUUAGACUCGAAUACCAACUUAAACCCUUCUCUGCACAGAAGGGAGCCACUAACGAGAUUCUUCUUGAUGGCGGGGACAUGCUGCACGUUCUUCAGCUGCAUGAUCCUUCCCGAAGUAAACUUCAGAUCGACCGUGCCAACACCAAGAACAGAAGCACUCGCACCAUUCCCCAUCAAUACGGACCCGCGACCGGUGGCCUGAUAAGAAGAGAACAAUGAUAAGUCAGCACACACAUGAAUAUUUGCACCCGUGUCCACCCACCAAUCGGUGGACUGACAAACUGUAAAUACAGUAAGUAAAUUACCGUACCCAGAUGCACCACUUUCAUUGUUGCCCACAAUCAUGUUGGCAGACUUGGAGUCCUGCGCCGGCUUCUUGUACUUGUUUGGGCAUUUGUUCGCCCAAUGUUCCUCUGAACCACAAGUAUAGCAGCCAUCUCCCUUCUUAUUCUUCUUGAAGGGCUUCUUUCCCUUCUUCUUGAAGUCGGUAUUCUGUGGGACAGAAUUCUUUCCCUUGGGCUUGUGAGAAUUAAAGUUCCUCUGAUGUACCAUAUUGGCAGCAGAAGAGCUUUCCACCGCUUUUCCAUUGGAGUCCUUUGCUCUCGAGUUCUGCUCAACACUCAGAUGGCCGAUGAUGUCCUCUACUGAGAACUCACGCCUCUGAUGUUUCAGAGUAGUAGCAAAGUUCCUCCAGGAAUUAGGGAGCUUAGCAAUUAUACAGCCCACGACAAACUUGCCCGGAAAAUUGCACUUAAGAACCUCAAGUUCCUUAGCUAUGCAUAUUAUCUCAUGAGCUUGUUCCAAUACAGAACGGUUGUCAACCAUCUUGUAAUCGUGGAACUGCUCCAUAACAUACAUCUCACUCCCAGCAUCGGUGGCCCCGAAUUUAGAUUCGAGCGCCUCCCACAAGUCCUUGGCGACAUGCAUAUGUAAAUAUGCAUCAACCAGCUUAUCUCCGAUCACGCUAAUAACUGCUCCAAGGAAUAGGACGGUGGCCUCCUUAAACAUCUUCUCCUGUUCAGGAGUGAUAGUUUCCGUAGGAGUGACACCGGCUACCCAGAACACGUUCAUAGCCGUGAGCCAUAAGGUGGUUCUCGUUUGCCAACGCUUGAAAAAAGUACCGGUAAACUUAUUCGGUUUCAGUGCAGCAGCAAAACCAUUACUCGAAAAAUUCCUACACACAUUAGGUUUUUGGAUUGUUGAGUAAAUAGGCAAUUUUCCGAGUAUAUUAAUCCACGAGAUAAUAACUAGCAUGACAUUGACUAGACUAAUGAUAUACUGAUCUUGAGCUAACCUAGCACAUACUACGCAUAUAGUGGAUACAUCUAUGCAGACAAGUAGUACUGCUAGGAUAAAUACGAACAUGAGGAUAAACGAGUCAUACCCUCCAAUCGGCCAGUUGGCCAUAGCAGCGGCGGCGGCGGCGGCAGUAUCCUCUGCCGCCUUCUUCUAGGCUUCGGCCUUCUCGCGGAGACGGUCAGCUUCGCUUGGUGAAGACAUGGCGAUGACGAGAGCGACGCGGACGUAGACGAAGCAGACGGACGGAGGUGAGCAGUCGCGUGAUCGCUCCCCAAAAACCUAAUCGCCCCUCUCCCGUACAGGAACCGGAGAGGAGAGGUUUCCGAGGCCUGCUCUCCCGUCGACCGUGUACGCGGCAAACGGGACGGAGUCGCCGGCGGUAGCAGCAGUUCAAGGAACGAACGCGUGAGGCAGAUGUGAUCUGAUUCUCGUGACGGCUAGGGUAGGCGACCACGUGCUUAUAAAGGCGGCUGGGUGGAGAGACGUGGGCCGAACCCACGUCCGUUUCGGUAACAGCCACGAUCCGACGUCUCGGAUCGUGCCUUGUCCGUUACGUAUUCUCCGUUCCUGACCGGCAAAAAUAAGCGCGUAGGUAUGAGCUCGGCUCGGCUCAUUCCCGCAACCCGCGGCGCGUCGUGACGAGGCGUGGCGUGGCGAGGCGGGCGGCGGAGGAGCAGUGCGCGAGGGCACCUUCUCUUCUCACUCUCCAAUAGCAUGUGGAAGAGAGACCCUUAUAAAGGGGUCCAAACUCUCCUCCACUAGCGGGGUGGGACUAAACUUCCCACCACCUUGUCAUGCCACCACCUACAUGGGCCCUUGGAGAUUUUUCUGAAAUUCUCUAAUGGGCCUAAAGCCCACUACCAAUUUCAACACGAUCACGCCCCACCUUACCGUCCGCAAGGGAUGUCGUGGUCGCCUCACUCUCCAACAGGCUCACGACCUCUCCUGAUGGAGUACAACUCGUGGUGGAGCUCGGGCUUGGCAGAAAAGGUGACCCCUCGGGUGGAGCAUAUUAGUCACACUCAUGGCCUAUUCAUGAGUUUACUAGAGAUCACCCAAAUCUCAUAUGUGACCAGCAGUCAAGCUCAUAUAGGUGUGUUCCUCCAAAGAUCGCUCUGUAGGACAGCAUCUCGCUUACAUAUAAGCUUUAGAACACAUUAAGACAGUAGUCAUCCUACCAUACAGUAUCCGAGAGUAUUGCAUCUCCAACGGAGUGGGUUAGUAAAGUUACUCUCCUAAGUUCACCACUGGCUUGUUUUCCCAGGUCCUACUUCAUGGGAUCUCCGAUCAUAUAGGUUGGGUUACUGCCAUGGCAACUCAUGUGGGUCUCAUACCCAUCUCCCUCGAUGCACUAUCUAUCACAACACGUGAUAGCCCUUUAGUAAAGGGAUCUGCCAGAUUCUUAGCCGUUUGGAUAUAAUCCAACGCUAUCACUCCAGAGUUUCUCAAACGUCUGACAGACUUCAAUCUCAUUCUUAUAUGUUUGUUGGACUUCAUAUUGUCCUUUGAACUCUUCACUUUAACAAUAACUGUUUGAUUAUCGCAGUUCAUAAGGAUAGCCGGAACCGGCUUCUCAACCACAGGUAAGUCCAUCAAAAGAUCUCGAAGAAAUUCUGCUUCGACACCAUAUGUGUCUAAUCCUGUUAAUUCUGCUUCCAUUGUCAAUCUCGUUAAGAUCGUUUGCUUGCAAGACUUCCAGGAAACAGCACCACCCCCAAGAGUAAACAUAUACCCAGUGGUAGCCUUCAUCUCAUCAGCAUCAGAGAUCCAAUUUGCAUCACUAUACCCUUCAAGUACGGAUGGGAAUCCCGUAUAGUGAAGCCCGUGAUUGACAGUACCAUUCAAGUAGCGCAUAAUUCUUUCAACAGCGUGCCAAUGAACAUCACCCGGGUUUGCAACAAACCGGCUAAGUUUGCUCACAGCAAACGCGAUGCCAGGCCUCGUUGCGCUAGCUUGGUACAUAAGUGAACCGAUAAUUUGAGAGAAUCUCAAUUGAUCUAUAGCUGUGCCUUUAAACUUUCGAAUAAGCACACUAGGAUCAUAACUAGCAUGGCAUUGACUAGACUAAUGAUAUACUGAUCUUGAGCUAACCUAGCACAUACUACGCAUAUAGUGGAUACAUCUAUGCAGAAAAGUAGUACUGCUAGGAUAAAUACGAACAUGAGGAUAAACGAGUCAUACCCUCCAAUCGGCCAGUUGGCCGUAGCAGCAGCGGCGGCAGUAUCCUCUGCCGCCUUCUUCUCGGCUUCGGCCUUCUCGCGGAGACGGUCAGCUUCGCUUGGUGAAGACAUGGCGAUGACGAGGGCGACGCGGACGUAGACAAAGCAGACGGACGGAGGCGAGCAGUCGCGUGAUCGCUCCCCAAAAACCUAAUCGCCCCUCUCCCGUACAGGAACCGGAGAGGCGAGGUUUCGGAGGCCUGCUCUCCCGUCGACCGUGUACGCGGCAAACGGGACGGAGUCGCCGGCGGCAGCAGCAGUUCAAGGAACGAACGCGUGAGGCAGAUGUGAUCUGAUUCUCGUGACGGCUAGGGUAGGCGAUCGCGUGCUUAUAAAGGCGGCUGGGUGGAGAGACGUGGGCCGAACCCACGUCCGAGUCGGUAACAGCCACGAUCUGACGUCUCGGAUCGUGCCUUGUCCGUUACGUAUUCUCCGUUCCUGACCGGCAAAAAUAAGCGCGUAAGUAUGAGCUCGGCUCGCGGCGCAGCGCGUCGUGAUGAGGCAGGUGGCGGAGGAGGAGUGCGCGAGGACACCUUCUCUUCUCACUCUCCAAUAGCAUGUGGAAGAGAGACCCUUAUAAAGGGGUCCAAACUCUCCUCCACUAACGGGGUGGGACUAAACUUCCCACCACCUUGUCAUGCCACCACCUACAUGGGCCCUUGGAGAUUUUUCUGAAAUUCUCUAAUGGCCUAAAGCCCACUACCAAUUUCAACACGAUCACGCCCCACCUUACCGUCCGCAAGGGAUGUCGUGGUCGCCUCACUCUCCAACAGGCUCACGACCUCUCCUGAUGGAGUACAACUCGUGGUGGAGCUCGGGCUUGGCAGACCGUCGGCCCCUUUGCUCGUCGUCUAGGUCACGUGACCGGCGCCGGCAGGGGAAGACCACGAUAGCCAAAUCUAGUCGUUGAAGCCGGCCAAAUCCACCGUAUUCCCAUUUCCCAGUAAUCUCCCUCGACUAUGGUUGGCCUGGUGGUGCAGUAUGACGGCUCAUCCGCGGCGGCCAGGAACAAGACGGCGGCCUGGUGCAGCACGGCGACCUCGUUCGUGGCGACCCGAAGAAACACGGCAGCCUCGUUCGCGACAUCCUAGUUCAGCACGACGGCUGGUCCGCGAUGGCCAGGAAUAGCACGAUGGCCUCGUUCGCAGCGUCCCGUUGCAGCACGAAGGCCUCGUCCGCGGCGACCCGAAGCAGCAUGGUGGUCCCGCUGUCGCGGCCGCCCGGAGCAGCACGACGGCCUUGAAGGCCAGGAUUGGAGGAGAGUGGGUUGCUUGCUUUUCUAUUUAAGGUGAUAGGUGUUUUUUUGGCUAAGUUAACUCCUUGCAAUCCGGCACCACUUGUCAGAUUAAACGGAGUAAAUCACUCGACCAAUGUUUUACUUUUAAAUUACCGAAUACGCGAUGACUUCUGCAGCAAAUCAGUGAAUAGAUGAUUCACUUCUUGUUCGGUACAACCUCCAAACACAAGGACAGCUGAGAUUAAACGAUAC